GGAAAGGGGGCCCGCUGAAGCAUGAGAGUGGAGCGGACUGAAGGGAGCUUGCUCCCGGAUGUUAGCGGCGGACGGGUGAGUAACACGUGGGUAACCUGCCUGUAAGACUGGGAUAACUCCGGGAAACCGGAGCUAAUACCGGAUAGUUCCUUGAACCGCAUGGUUCAAGGAUGAAAGACGGUUUCGGCUGUCACUUACAGAUGGACCCGCGGCGCAUUAGCUAGUUGGUGGGGUAAUGGCUCACCAAGGCGACGAUGCGUAGCCGACCUGAGAGGGUGAUCGGCCACACUGGGACUGAGACACGGCCCAGACUCCUACGGGAGGCAGCAGUAGGGAAUCUUCCGCAAUGGACGAAAGUCUGACGGAGCAACGCCGCGUGAGUGAUGAAGGUUUUCGGAUCGUAAAGCUCUGUUGUUAGGGAAGAACAAGUGCGAGAGUAACUGCUCGCACCUUGACGGUACCUAACCAGAAAGCCACGGCUAACUACGUGCCAGCAGCCGCGGUAAUACGUAGGUGGCAAGCGUUGUCCGGAAUUAUUGGGCGUAAAGGGCUCGCAGGCGGUUUCUUAAGUCUGAUGUGAAAGCCCCCGGCUCAACCGGGGAGGGUCAUUGGAAACUGGGAAACUUGAGUGCAAAGAGGAGAGUGGAAUUCCACGUGUAGCGGUGAAAUGCGUAGAGAUGUGGAGGAACACCAGUGGCGAAGGCGACUCUCUGGUCUGUAACUGACGCUGAGGAGCGAAAGCGUGGGGAGCGAACAGGAUUAGAUACCCUGGUAGUCCACGCCGUAAACGAUGAGUGCUAAGUGUUAGGGGUUUCCGCCCCUUAUGCUGCAGCUAACGCAUUUAGCACUCCGCCGGGGAGUACGGUCGCAGAACUGAAACUCAAGGAAUUGACGGGGGCCCGCAAAGCGGUGGAGCAUGGUGGUUAAUUCGAACACCCAAGAACCUUACCAGGUCUGGAUCCUCUACAACCCUAGAAAUAGGCUUUCCUUUCGGGGACGAAUUGACAGGGGGUGGGAUGGU
This 1021-nucleotide ribosomal RNA is filed under the name Bacillus pumilus. RNAcentral describes it as "bacterial SSU rRNA". It matches the Rfam family "Bacterial small subunit ribosomal RNA", at positions 30 to 1049 of the family's 1533-position model. Lineage: Bacteria; Bacillati; Bacillota; Bacilli; Caryophanales; Bacillaceae. The record is from RNAcentral.